GUAAUUUCACUCAAAGGCCCAUUUAAACCAACCAAACAAAUAUUGAACGGCUUCAAGCGUCACACCUGAACACGUGUCAACAUCACAUUGCGAUUUCCAUUUUUCGUUACUCUACUCCAAUUUCCAUUUUGUUUUGUUAUUUCCAUAUCCUCCUCUAUAUAUACACAUAGUAUCAAUCAAUAUCAUUAUCAUCACAGAUUAUACAACUCAUUGUUUCCGAACAAACUAGGGUUUUGUUUUUCCGUUCGAUUUCAGAUAU
Arabidopsis thaliana (thale cress) is the source of this 259-nucleotide long non-coding RNA. RefSeq annotates it as other RNA. The transcript has a single exon. The record is from RefSeq. NCBI's taxonomy places the organism in Eukaryota, Viridiplantae, Streptophyta, Magnoliopsida, Brassicales, Brassicaceae.